GACAGCCGACACCUUUUGGAGGCUUGAGUUUCACUUGGGUAAAAUGACCAGAAUGAUCCUUCCGGCUGCCUUUAUGGACCUUUAUUACAGAGUUGCGUAAAUAACCUCCAACCUCUUUUGAGGUGGCCUUGGCGAGGUCCAACCCCUUCUCCUUCAGCUCAGCCAGAGGCCCGUUCCGAGAAAGCAGGAAUGAACAAAAAGCAGGAGACACCACCCAGCUUCUCCCUACGGUUCUCUUUAUUACAUCAGAGAGAUAUCCAGGGACUUCUUGGCCAGGUCGCUAUGCUUGAUGUCGUAGAAAAAUUCCUAUCCAGAAAGACGAGGGGUCAAGAGGCGGAAAGGCACCUCCAGGAGCAGAUCAACAAGAGUAACAACACAAAAAAGAUUGACUGGGAAGCAGCAGGAACGGGGUUGACUCCCACUUUUGCAACCCCUGGACCCCUCUCUACUCCCUUGGCCGAGAUUACCAGCCCCCCAGCCCCCAAAAAGCUGUGCCUGUCUGAGUGGGCCAGAGAGGGCUUUGCCAGGCUUCCUGCAAAGGGGGCCUUUCAGAGG
Crotalus tigris (Tiger rattlesnake) is the source of this 555-nucleotide long non-coding RNA. RefSeq lists it as uncharacterized. NCBI's taxonomy places the organism in Eukaryota, Metazoa, Chordata, Lepidosauria, Squamata, Viperidae. The transcript is spliced from 3 exons. The record is from RefSeq and is a predicted model, not a curated record.